Molecule: small RNA, 359 nt
Filed under: Rhizobium phaseoli
Lineage: Bacteria; Pseudomonadati; Pseudomonadota; Alphaproteobacteria; Hyphomicrobiales; Rhizobiaceae
Description: miscellaneous other RNA
Source: RNAcentral
CAUCGGCUUUGAGCCUGAUGCCUGUUCUGCAUACAUUGUGAAGAGAAGAUUGAUCUGGAGGCUUCCAGGUGUUUUGGGUUUUGCCCGAAACGUCCGAGCCCAGUUCUGCUGAUCCUAUGGAUGGCCUAGCCGGCCGGAGAUAGGGGAAGGACUGGAGGUAGGAAGGAAGCUUGUCGCUCUGGGUCGUUGUUGUUUGUUUGAUCUCUAGGGAUGAAGCAUCUGACGGACGACUUGAUUGCCGUUGCCUGACCGCGCGGUAUCGGAUCCAAUCUCGAGAAGCUGGUCUUAAGACCUGACACAAGCGAGCUGCUCGGCGUAGCUCCGAUAAAGUGAUCAGGUCGAACACGUCGAUGGCAUCA